RNAcentral lists this ribosomal RNA (708 nucleotides) under Escherichia coli. RNAcentral's name for it is "partial 23S ribosomal RNA". It matches the Rfam family "Bacterial large subunit ribosomal RNA", at positions 506 to 1215 of the family's 2925-position model. Lineage: Bacteria; Pseudomonadati; Pseudomonadota; Gammaproteobacteria; Enterobacterales; Enterobacteriaceae. The record is from RNAcentral.
AGGGAAAGGCGAAAAGAACCCCGGCGAGGGGAGUGAAAAAGAACCUGAAACCGUGUACGUACAAGCAGUGGGAGCACGCUUAGGCGUGUGACUGCGUACCUUUUGUAUAAUGGGUCAGCGACUUAUAUUCUGUAGCAAGGUUAACCGAAUAGGGGAGCCGAAGGGAAACCGAGUCUUAACUGGGCGUUAAGUUGCAGGGUAUAGACCCGAAACCCGGUGAUCUAGCCAUGGGCAGGUUGAAGGUUGGGUAACACUAACUGGAGGACCGAACCGACUAAUGUUGAAAAAUUAGCGGAUGACUUGUGGCUGGGGGUGAAAGGCCAAUCAAACCGGGAGAUAGCUGGUUCUCCCCGAAAGCUAUUUAGGUAGCGCCUCGUGAAUUCAUCUCCGGGGGUAGAGCACUGUUUCGGCAAGGGGGUCAUCCCGACUUACCAACCCGAUGCAAACUGCGAAUACCGGAGAAUGUUAUCACGGGAGACACACGGCGGGUGCUAACGUCCGUCGUGAAGAGGGAAACAACCCAGACCGCCAGCUAAGGUCCCAAAGUCAUGGUUAAGUGGGAAACGAUGUGGGAAGGCCCAGACAGCCAGGAUGUUGGCUUAGAAGCAGCCAUCAUUUAAAGAAAGCGUAAUAGCUCACUGGUCGAGUCGGCCUGCGCGGAAGAUGUAACGGGGCUAAACCAUGCACCGAAGCUGCGGCAGCGACGCU